GACAAAUCCCGAGUGGUUUAGGACAGACAUCAAAGAGCCCUACCUCGCCAUCGUAGCCCAUCCCCAAGCUGCAAGCUUAGGAUUCGACUCCUCAGGCUGGCUCAAACAUUGUGGAUCAGGAUCACGUCCCCAUGCCCACCAGGUCGUUCGAGGAGUAUGCUGAAUGCUCGUUGAUCCAGAGAGCAUUGUGGACAAGUAUGAGAAGGAGGUUAACCUUCAUGAAAGGGUCCAAACCCUCGAGCUACUCGCUCUGAAGGUAUGAUCUUGAUGUUAACGCUGCUUUCCUAUUUUUCUAUUCUUUUUGGAUUGUUCUGACAUCGGGUAUAAUAUUUACUUUGCAGUCUUUAAGUUAGCUUGAGGCCUGACAUUGAACAUCUUGAGCAAGUUGGAGGAGCUCGAGGCCAAGAAUGAGUGGGCGAGGAAAAGGGUUUUCGAGCUUGAGAGAGAGCGAGAUGAUGCUAGGGCAGAUUUGAGGAGGACCUGAGAUGAGAUCGGGGUGGCUAAGGAUAAGGUCGAAGAAGCUAAGCUCGAGCUCGUACAAGCCAGAAAGGGCUUUGAGGAUGAACUGGCCAGGGCUCUAGCUCAGGCUAUUGAGGACUUCAAGAAGUCGGAGGAGUUCGGGACCCUCCUAGGGCAGUAUGGGUCGAGCUCAUAUCACUACGGCUUGAGGCUUGCUCGAUUAUUUUUGCGGAUGAAGCUCCUCGAUGAUUUGAACCCUAUGUUAGAGGGAUUGAGAACGUUUAGAGCUUGCCAAUUAUCUUGAGCUCUCUGCAUCGGAGGUCGAUGAAGACAAUGAUGACGGAGAUGAUGUUGGGACCCUUGAUUAGAGUGAUGCCGCCAAUGCCAUUGACCUCGAUUAGGUCUUAUCCCUUGAACUUUUGCUUACUAAUUUUUGAAAAAAUUGUAAAGUACAUUGCCCGACCUGGGCUUUUACCUUUUGGAAAUGCUAUUACUAACUUGAUGUUUUGCGUUUAUCAAAUAUUUGCUCAUGCCUCGUCUUCUACGCAUGUUUUUUUAUCCAUUUUGCUCAUGUGUUGUUUUGUGCAUGUAUUAAGGUCGAGAUAUAUAUAUCGUGUAAAGUAGCAAUGUAUUAUGAUCCCAGCUCAAGUGUUAGCAUUGUGUGAUGCGAGCUAUGGAUUUUAUGGGUCCUAGCUCAGACAAUUUUUGACAUUAAAGGUAUAUCUCAAGCAAGCAUAAAGAUCGUGUUUUGUAAAAUAUUUAUCAAGUAGAGUUUGUGCAUUUUUGGUUCGUCGUCUCUUUGACUAUGAUGUAAGAGCUUUUACGUGUUUAGCUUGUGUAUUAAUUGAAUUUUUCAGUGCGUAGUUUGAGCAGGUAUUGUCAAGGGAUGUCGACAAAAUAUGACCGAGCUCAAGCUUCGUAUUCCUUAAUGUUAUGAUAAAUCUGGG
This 1406-nucleotide long non-coding RNA is filed under the name Olea europaea subsp. europaea. The record is from RNAcentral. Lineage: Eukaryota; Viridiplantae; Streptophyta; Magnoliopsida; Lamiales; Oleaceae.